ACUCGAGUGGCGAACGGGUGAGUAACACGUGGGUGAUCUGCCCUGCACUUCGGGAUAAGCUUGGGAAACUGGGUCUAAUACCGGAUAGGAGCCAUCUUUAGUGUGGUGGUUGGAAAGUUUUUUCGGUGUAGGAUGAGCUCGCGGCCUAUCAGCUUGUUGGUGGGGUAAUGGCCUACCAAGGCGGCGACGGGUAGCCGGACUGAGAGGUUGGUCGGCCACAUUGGGACUGAGAUACGGCCCAG
RNAcentral lists this ribosomal RNA (242 nucleotides) under uncultured Actinomycetales bacterium. RNAcentral describes it as "partial 16S ribosomal RNA". It matches the Rfam family "Bacterial small subunit ribosomal RNA", at positions 89 to 334 of the family's 1533-position model. Lineage: Bacteria; Bacillati; Actinomycetota; Actinomycetes; Actinomycetales. The record is from RNAcentral.